This 1414-nucleotide ribosomal RNA is filed under the name Staphylococcus aureus. RNAcentral's name for it is "bacterial SSU rRNA". It matches the Rfam family "Bacterial small subunit ribosomal RNA". The record is from RNAcentral. Lineage: Bacteria; Bacillati; Bacillota; Bacilli; Caryophanales; Staphylococcaceae.
GUCGAGCGAACGGACGAGAAGCUUGCUUCUCUGAUGUUAGCGGCGGACGGGUGAGUAACACGUGGAUAACCUACCUAUAAGACUGGGAUAACUUCGGGAAACCGGAGCUAAUACCGGAUAAUAUUUUGAACCGCAUGGUUCAAAAGUGAAAGACGGUCUUGCUGUCACUUAUAGAUGGAUCCGCGCUGCAUUAGCUAGUUGGUAAGGUAACGGCUUACCAAGGCAACGAUGCAUAGCCGACCUGAGAGGGUGAUCGGCCACACUGGAACUGAGACACGGUCCAGACUCCUACGGGAGGCAGCAGUAGGGAAUCUUCCGCAAUGGGCGAAAGCCUGACGGAGCAACGCCGCGUGAGUGAUGAAGGUCUUCGGAUCGUAAAACUCUGUUAUUAGGGAAGAACAUAUGUGUAAGUAACUGUGCACAUCUUGACGGUACCUAAUCAGAAAGCCACGGCUAACUACGUGCCAGCAGCCGCGGUAAUACGUAGGUGGCAAGCGUUAUCCGGAAUUAUUGGGCGUAAAGCGCGCGUAGGCGGUUUUUUAAGUCUGAUGUGAAAGCCCACGGCUCAACCGUGGAGGGUCAUUGGAAACUGGAAAACUUGAGUGCAGAAGAGGAAAGUGGAAUUCCAUGUGUAGCGGUGAAAUGCGCAGAGAUAUGGAGGAACACCAGUGGCGAAGGCGACUUUCUGGUCUGUAACUGACGCUGAUGUGCGAAAGCGUGGGGAUCAAACAGGAUUAGAUACCCUGGUAGUCCACGCCGUAAACGAUGAGUGCUAAGUGUUAGGGGGUUUCCGCCCCUUAGUGCUGCAGCUAACGCAUUAAGCACUCCGCCUGGGGAGUACGACCGCAAGGUUGAAACUCAAAGGAAUUGACGGGGACCCGCACAAGCGGUGGAGCAUGUGGUUUAAUUCGAAGCAACGCGAAGAACCUUACCAAAUCUUGACAUCCUUUGACAACUCUAGAGAUAGAGCCUUCCCCUUCGGGGGACAAAGUGACAGGUGGUGCAUGGUUGUCGUCAGCUCGUGUCGUGAGAUGUUGGGUUAAGUCCCGCAACGAGCGCAACCCUUAAGCUUAGUUGCCAUCAUUAAGUUGGGCACUCUAAGUUGACUGCCGGUGACAAACCGGAGGAAGGUGGGGAUGACGUCAAAUCAUCAUGCCCCUUAUGAUUUGGGCUACACACGUGCUACAAUGGACAAUACAAAGGGCAGCGAAACCGCGAGGUCAAGCAAAUCCCAUAAAGUUGUUCUCAGUUCGGAUUGUAGUCUGCAACUCGACUACAUGAAGCUGGAAUCGCUAGUAAUCGUAGAUCAGCAUGCUACGGUGAAUACGUUCCCGGGUCUUGUACACACCGCCCGUCACACCACGAGAGUUUGUAACACCCGAAGCCGGUGGAGUAACCUUUUAGGAGCUAGCCG